This is a long non-coding RNA of Gallus gallus (chicken), 958 nucleotides long. The record is from Ensembl. NCBI's taxonomy places the organism in Eukaryota, Metazoa, Chordata, Aves, Galliformes, Phasianidae.
CCUGGCCUUGAAUGCCUCCAGGGUGGGAGCAUCCACAACCUCUCUGAGCAGCCUGUUCCAGUGCCUCAUCACCAUCAUGUUGCAGCUGACCAGAACUGAGCUGUGACUGACACUGGUUGUGCCUCUGUGAGAUCCAACUUAAGAAAAGCUUUUGUGCAGCUGCAGCCGGGAGAAAGGAGGGAACAAAUGUAGACAGCAAUAACUCUGCAUUCACCAAGGCCAGUGAGGAUGGAGGGGGAGGAGGUACUCCAGGCAUUGGAAGAGAAGUUCCUCUGCAGCCUGUGGAGAUGCUCAUGGUGCAGCAGGCUAUCCCCUGCAGCCCACGGGGUACCACACAGAGCAGAUCUCCAUGUGCAGCCCAUGGAGGAUCCCACUCAGGAUCAGGUUCCUGUCUGAACCAGGAUUUGGAGAGAAGCCUGUGGUGUAGCAGGUGAUCUGGUGAGAGCUGUGCCUAUGGGAGACAUGCUGAAAAAGUCCAUUCCUGGUGGACUUGUGGACUGUCUUGUGGACCCACAUUAGAGCAGUUCUUGAAAAACUGAAGCUUGUGAAAAGCCCACGUAAGACCAAGAGGAGACAGGCUGCAUCUCGUGGGAGGGACCUCCUCGCUGGAGCAGUAGAAGAGAGCAGGAAAGAAGGAGGAGCAGUGACACAGUGUUACAGACUGACUGCAAUCUCUUUUCCUGUUUUCAGACGGGACAGAGUUGAUUUUCUUCAUAGUGUCUGGGCAGCAAGUAGACUGGAGGUGCACAAAAGGUUUGGAGGGGAAAGAGCAAGUACAGCUAAUCCAGACUGACCAAAGGCAUAUUUCAAACGAUAUGGCUAUGACAUCAUGCUCAACAAUAAAAGCUGGAGUAAGAGUAAAGAAGGAGGAAGGUGGAGGGAACUUUUCAAGAAACAAGAAGCUGUUGCAUAUGAUGGAACCCUCCUAACCUGCAAAUGGCUGAAAAUCUACCUAUCA